This 73-nucleotide transfer RNA is filed under the name bacterium. RNAcentral describes it as "tRNA-Thr". It matches the Rfam family "tRNA". From Rfam's summary of the family: Transfer RNA (tRNA) molecules are approximately 80 nucleotides in length. Their secondary structure includes four short double-helical elements and three loops (D, anti-codon, and T loops). Further hydrogen bonds mediate the characteristic L-shaped molecular structure. tRNAs have two regions of fundamental functional importance: the anti-codon, which is responsible for specific mRNA codon recognition, and the 3' end, to which the tRNAs corresponding amino acid is attached (by aminoacyl-tRNA synthetases). tRNAs cope with the degeneracy of the genetic code in two manners: having more than one tRNA (with a specific anti-codon) for a particular amino acid; and 'wobble' base-pairing, i.e. permitting non-standard base-pairing at the 3rd anti-codon position. The record is from RNAcentral.
GCCGAUGUAGCUCAGCUGGUAGAGCAAUGCUUUCGUAAAGCAGAGGUCGUGGGUUCGAUUCCCACCAUCGGCU